RNAcentral lists this unclassified non-coding RNA (17 nucleotides) under synthetic construct. Its description in RNAcentral is "RNA (5'-R(P*CP*GP*GP*AP*GP*AP*GP*GP*GP*AP*AP*CP*CP*CP*AP*CP*U)-3') from synthetic construct (PDB 8P4C, chain P)". The record is from RNAcentral.
CGGAGAGGGAACCCACU